GGCUAACGCUGGCGGCGUGUCUUAGCCAUGCAAGUCGAGCGGACUUAUGGGGUAACUUAUAAGUCAGCGGCGGACGGCGGAGUAACACGUAGCUAACCUACCCUCUGGACGGGGAUAACCUACCGAAAGGUGGGCUAAUACCCGAUGUAGUCAUCCUGUAUAGGGGUGAUGAAAGGUGGGCUUCUGUUUACAAGCUCAUGCUGGAGGAGGGGGCUGCGGCCUAUCAGGUAGUUGGUAGGGUAAUAGCCUACCAAGCCGAUGACGGGUAGCCGGCCUGAGAGGGUGACCGGCCCGAGGGGCACUGAGAUACGGGUCCCACUCCUACGGGAGGCAGCAGGCUAGAAAUUUGGGCAAUGGGGGAAACCCUGGCCCAGUGACGCCGCGUGCAGGAAGGAGCCCUUCGGGGUGUAAACUGCUGUCGUGUAGGGAGAAGGGUACUAAGGUGAACAAUCUUAGUACUUGACGGUACUACAGGAGGAAGCCCAGGCUAACCUCGUG
RNAcentral lists this ribosomal RNA (498 nucleotides) under uncultured bacterium. RNAcentral describes it as "bacterial SSU rRNA". It matches the Rfam family "Bacterial small subunit ribosomal RNA", at positions 28 to 507 of the family's 1533-position model. The record is from RNAcentral.